Molecule: ribosomal RNA, 630 nt
Filed under: Denisophytum madagascariense
Lineage: Eukaryota; Viridiplantae; Streptophyta; Magnoliopsida; Fabales; Fabaceae
Description: eukaryotic LSU rRNA
Rfam family: 5.8S ribosomal RNA (bases 223-378)
Source: RNAcentral
UGCGGAAGGAUCAUUGUCGAUGCCUGCAAAAAAGAACGACCCGCGAACUGUGUUAUCGAUCAUUGUCGGCGGGAGCGCGCGCGGCCUCGCGCAGCGCGUGCACCGUCGAAGCAACAACUAACCCCGGCGCCCUGCGCCAAGGAAUAUUGGAAACUAAGCGCGCCCCUCGGCCGUCCGGAAACGGCUCAGGUCGGGGAGCGUCGCGAGUCUUGUACGCACAAUGACUCUCGGCAACGGAUAUCUCGGCUCUCGCAUCGAUGAAGAACGUAGCGAAAUGCGAUACUUGGUGUGAAUUGCAGAAUCCCGUGAACCAUCGAGUCUUUGAACGCAAGUUGCGCCCGAAGCCAUUAGGCCGAGGGCACGUCUGCCUGGGUGUCACACAUCGUUGCCCUUCCACCACUGUUGCUCGCAUGAGGGCACGGGGGGAUGGGCGGAUUGUGGCCUCCCGUGAGCCUGGCCUCGCGGUUGGCCGAAAAAAGAGUCUUGGGCGGCGAUCGCCACGCUCCUCGGUGGACGAGUGGAACUCGAUACCGGCAGCGCGCGCGUCGUCCCCCGUUCGGGCUCAGAGACCCUCCCGCGUUAGCGAAUCGACGCGACCCCAGGUCAGGCGGGGCUACCCGCUGAGUUUAA